CGAGUUCUCGUUGAUGAUCGGUGCUUGCACCGAGAUUCAACAUGGAACGAGUGGCGGACGGGUGAGUAACACGUGGGUAACCUGCCCUUAAGUGGGGGAUAACAUUUGGAAACAGAUGCUAAUACCGCAUAGAUCCAAGAACCGCAUGGUUCUUGGCUGAAAGAUGGCGUAAGCUAUCGCUUUUGGAUGGACCCGCGGCGUAUUAGCUAGUUGGUGAGGUAAUGGCUCACCAAGGCGAUGAUACGUAGCCGAACUGAGAGGUUGAUCGGCCACAUUGGGACUGAGACACGGCCCAAACUCCUACGGGAGGCAGCAGUAGGGAAUCUUCCACAAUGGACGCAAGUCUGAUGGAGCAACGCCGCGUGAGUGAAGAAGGCUUUCGGGUCGUAAAACUCUGUUGUUGGAGAAGAAUGGUCGGCAGAGUAACUGUUGCCGGCGUGACGGUAUCCAACCAGAAAGCCACGGCUAACUACGUGCCAGCAGCCGCGGUAAUACGUAGGUGGCAAGCGUUAUCCGGAUUUAUUGGGCGUAAAGCGAGCGCA
This 542-nucleotide ribosomal RNA is filed under the name Lacticaseibacillus casei. RNAcentral's name for it is "bacterial SSU rRNA". It matches the Rfam family "Bacterial small subunit ribosomal RNA", at positions 58 to 573 of the family's 1533-position model. The record is from RNAcentral. Lineage: Bacteria; Bacillati; Bacillota; Bacilli; Lactobacillales; Lactobacillaceae.